GACGAUUGACCUCGGAUCAGUAGGGAUACCCGCUGAACUUAAGCAUAUCAAUAAGCGGAGGAAAAGAAACCAACAGGGAUUGCCUCAGUAACGGCGAGUGAAGCGGACAGCCCUCCAAAUAG
This 122-nucleotide ribosomal RNA is filed under the name Lecanora atra. Its description in RNAcentral is "partial 28S ribosomal RNA". It matches the Rfam family "Eukaryotic large subunit ribosomal RNA", at positions 1 to 116 of the family's 3401-position model. The record is from RNAcentral. Lineage: Eukaryota; Fungi; Ascomycota; Lecanoromycetes; Lecanorales; Lecanoraceae.